CUCUAUUGACCAAGAAAGUUCUAGCAGAUGGCAUUCCGUGCAUCUCUACCAAACCUAGACUGUUGCCUUCGUUGAUGUGCACAGAAUUCGAAAAAAAAAAAACUGUCGAGUUCUGCUUUCCUUAGGGGGUCUCAUUCAGAGCCCAUCUUCCCUCUUCCAAGCCAGACCGGGAUUGCAGCAUCUGGGAUCCCCCUUUCCUGUCCUUCUUCAAUUGUGGAAAGGCUGGAGGACAUCCCCUGAAAUGCUCCCAGCCUAUGGCAAGAGAAGGUAGGAGGCCAAAACCAGUUCCUGAGCCACAGGCAGACCCCCGUCAUCUCCUCAAUGAAGAACCUGGAAUUGUUGGUGUUGACAUGAGGUCCUACAGGACACUGCCCUCUGUCCACCUCGGCUCUGAGCCAUCCCCAGAAGGCUCUAUGAUGUCAGCUGCAAAACAGUCAACAAUCACAUGUACCCACCUCUAAACACUGAGACCCUAAAGUGACUCUUGUAAUCCAAGAGAUGAGUUUUGGCACCAAUCUAGGCCAAUAUCCUUCGACUUUCCCCUGAGUCCCCUGAACAGACUUCGAGGAGGGCUUUCUCUUGAUCAGCUCUCCCCAGAUCCUCACAACCUCCAGGACCCUCCUUUUGAAAGCGGAGCCCAUUGUCCUGGUUCUCUCCCCCUUGAUUGUUACUGACGUUGGGGACUUGUUCGGACACCUCUGGAAACACAAACAUAAUCAGAGCAUCUUGCAUGUUCGGACUGUUGGUUCGCGCUCAUGCUUAACACUGAGUGAAUCAACUGAGGUGAUAUACUGGGGACGCGGACUGAGCCAAGCCAGGAAUGACCUCUUCAGGCCUCAGAUUCUGGUUCAGAGCAGCAGAGACCAAUUUCGUCAAGGCCUUCAUCUGGACAAGGGCUCACAUGACCCAACCCAGCCUGUGUGGCCCUCCCAGACCGUGAAGGGACAGUCCUCCCGGCUGCUUCUGACCCCUACUCAGCGGAGGCAAGUCCUCUUCGCCCACGUACCCCUACAUGCC
Molecule: long non-coding RNA, 1017 nt
Filed under: Monodelphis domestica (gray short-tailed opossum)
Lineage: Eukaryota; Metazoa; Chordata; Mammalia; Didelphimorphia; Didelphidae
Description: lncRNA (ENSMODG00000032935.2)
Source: RNAcentral